AUGGCUAGCUUGGAAGGUUUCGAGUUCUUCGAGAUCGUAAUUGAGAAAUCUUGCAGUAGGCAGAGGCUGCCUGACAAGUUUGCGAAGAUGCUCGCCGGCCGUGAGCCCCACAAAGUGAAGCUGCGGGAGGCCGGCAGCGGGCUUCGCAGGCUGUGGGACGUGUUGGUGGUGUUCGAUGGCGAAGGCCACAUGCACCUAGGGCCCGACUGGGAUCAUUUCGCCCGCGCCCAUGAGCUACAGCUCGGGCACUUCCUUGUCUUCCGCUACGAUGGCGACGCCAUGUUCACCGUGAAGAUGUUCGGCAACACCAUGUGCCGCAUGUACUACCAGCACAACGACGAUGCUAGCAAUGGGAGCAGCAGCGGGGAUGACGAGGAGCAGAGCGGGGAUGACGAGGAGCAGCCUAUACUGGCUGACGAAGACCCUGCUAUGGUGGUGGCGGAUGACGACCUUGCUAUGAUGGUGGCCGACGACGACCCUGCUAUGGUGGUGGCGGACGACGACCUUGCUAUGGUGGCUGACGAUGACCUCGCGAUUGUGGUGCCUAAUGAUGACCUCGCAAUGGUGGUGCCUGACAAUGACCUCAUGAUGGUGGUGGCGCCUGCAAUCCCACAGCUUGGCGACAUGACCAUGCCAAUUGUGGUUGAGGAGUACAUCCGCGUCGGGAUUCGCCACUCUGAGCGCAUAAGGUUGAUGAAGGAGAAGAAGGAGGAGUGA
This 717-nucleotide ribosomal RNA is filed under the name Triticum aestivum (bread wheat). Its description in RNAcentral is "partial small subunit ribosomal RNA". The record is from RNAcentral. Lineage: Eukaryota; Viridiplantae; Streptophyta; Magnoliopsida; Poales; Poaceae.